CCAAUAGCGUAUAUUAAAGUUGUUGCAGUUAAAAAGCUCGUAGUUGAAUUUCGGGAUUGACCCAUCGGUCGUGCCUUAAGGGGUAUGAACUGGUGUAGUCAAUUUCUCACCUUCUGGAGAACCGCGAUGUCCUUAAUUGGGUGCCGCGAGGAACCAGGACCUUUACUUUGAAAAAAUUAGAGUGUUUAAAGCAGGCAUUUUUGCUUGAAUCCAUUAGCAUGGAAUAAUAAAAUAGGACGGCAUGAUUCUAUUUUGUUGGUUUCUAGGAUAACCGUAAUGAUUAAUAGGGAUAGUUGGGGGCAUUAGUAUUCAAUUGUCAGAGGUGAAAUUCUUGGAUUUAUUGAAGACUAACUACUGCGAAAGCAUUUGCCAAGGAUGUUUUCAUUAAUCAAGAACGAAAGUUAGGGGAGCGAAGGCGAUCAGAUACCGUCGUAGUCUUAACCAUAAACUAUGCCGACUAGGAAUCAGACGAUGUUAAUUUUUUAAUGACUCGUUUGGCACCUUACG
This 507-nucleotide ribosomal RNA is filed under the name uncultured Glomeromycotina. Its description in RNAcentral is "partial small subunit ribosomal RNA". It matches the Rfam family "Eukaryotic small subunit ribosomal RNA", at positions 591 to 1092 of the family's 1831-position model. Lineage: Eukaryota; Fungi; Glomeromycota. The record is from RNAcentral.